Molecule: long non-coding RNA, 262 nt
Filed under: Homo sapiens (human)
Lineage: Eukaryota; Metazoa; Chordata; Mammalia; Primates; Hominidae
Description: HSALNT0111342
Source: RNAcentral
UGGAGUGGGUCCUACUUACAGCAAGAAGAGUAUACACGGAUAACUGGGAAGCUAAAGGGCAGACAGUGACACAUGACAUAGAUGAGGCUCCUCAGCAUCCACUGCAUUCCCCGUCUAGUGUGCAGCAGCGGAAAAGCAAAAACUAAUAUCCCAGGAUCCCUUGCAAUUCAGGUUCAGAAUGCAAUUUAGGUUCUACCUGCGACUUGUACUCAAGUGCUUUGAUUUGAAACUGGGUCAUAUGGAAAGCAGCAGGAUGCAGGGU